AGUACAGUGAGCCCUCUGUCUGCAGAUGCGGAGCCCGCGCCUCCGUAGCCUGCAGUACAGAGGACUGGCUGUACU
Molecule: microRNA precursor, 75 nt
Organism: Bos grunniens (domestic yak)
Lineage: Eukaryota; Metazoa; Chordata; Mammalia; Artiodactyla; Bovidae
Source: Ensembl